CAGUCGAGGGGUAUAGUUCUUCGGAAGUAGAGACCGGCGCACGGGUGCGUAACGCGUAUGCAAUCUACCUUGUACAGAGGGAUAGCCCAGAGAAAUUUGGAUUAAUACCUCAUAGUAUUAUGAAAUGGCAUCAUUUUAUAAUUAAAGUCACGACGGUGAAAGAUGAGCAUGCGUCCCAUUAGCUAGUUGGUGAGGUAACGGCUUACCAAGGCUACGAUGGGUAGGGGUCCUGAGAGGGAGAUCCCCCACACUGGU
This 255-nucleotide ribosomal RNA is filed under the name Flavobacterium sp. 80_a_1_(1). RNAcentral describes it as "partial 16S ribosomal RNA". It matches the Rfam family "Bacterial small subunit ribosomal RNA", at positions 60 to 317 of the family's 1533-position model. The record is from RNAcentral. Lineage: Bacteria; Pseudomonadati; Bacteroidota; Flavobacteriia; Flavobacteriales; Flavobacteriaceae.